AUUGAACGCUGGCGGCAUGCCUUACACAUGCAAGUCGAACGGCAGCACGGGAGCAAUCCUGGUGGCGAGUGGCGAACGGGUGAGUAAUGUAUCGGAACGUGCCCAGCCGUGGGGGAUAACGCAGCGAAAGCUGUGCUAAUACCGCAUACGAUCUAUGGAUGAAAGCGGGGGAUGGCAAGACCUCCCCCGAUUGGAUCGGCCGAUAUCAGAUUAGCGAGUUGGUGGGGUAAAAGCUUACCAAGGCGACGAUCUGUAGCUGGUCGGAGCGGACGCGCAGCCAGGGUGGAACUGCGACACGGUCCAGACUCAUACGGGCGGCAGCAGUGGGGAAUUUUGGACAAUGGGCGCAAGCCUGAUCCAGCAAUGCCGCGUGCAGGAUGAAGGCCUUCGGAUUGUAAACUGCUUUUGUACGGAGCGAAAAGGCUCUCUCUAAUACAGGGGGCUCAUGACGGUACCGUAAGAAUAAGCACCGGCUAACUACGUGCCAGCCGCCGCAGUAA
Molecule: ribosomal RNA, 500 nt
Filed under: uncultured bacterium
Lineage: Bacteria
Description: partial 16S ribosomal RNA
Rfam family: Bacterial small subunit ribosomal RNA
Source: RNAcentral